AACGAACGCUGGCGGCAUGCCUAACACAUGCAAGUCGAACGAGACCUUCGGGUCUAGUGGCGCACGGGUGCGUAACGCGUGGGAACCUGCCCUUAGGUUCGGAAUAACUCCCCGAAAGGGGUGCUAAUACCGGAUAAUGUCUUCGGACCAAAGAUUUAUCGCAUUUGGAUGGGCCCGCGUUGGAUUAGCUAGUUGGUAGGGUAAAAGCCUACCAAGGCGACGAUUCAUAACUGGUCUGAGAGGAUGAUCAGCCACACUGGGACUGAGACACGGCCGAGACUCCUACGGGAGGCAGCAGUGGGGAAUAUUGGACAAUGGGCGAAAGCCUGAUCCAGCAAUGCCGCGUGAGUGAUGAAGGCCUUAGGGUUGUAAAGCUCUUUUACCCGGGAUGAUAAUGACGGUACCGGGAGAAUAAGCUCCGGCUAACUCCGUG
This 433-nucleotide ribosomal RNA is filed under the name uncultured bacterium. Its description in RNAcentral is "partial 16S ribosomal RNA". It matches the Rfam family "Bacterial small subunit ribosomal RNA", at positions 29 to 507 of the family's 1533-position model. The record is from RNAcentral.